RNAcentral lists this ribosomal RNA (842 nucleotides) under Cryptophiale udagawae. RNAcentral's name for it is "partial large subunit ribosomal RNA". It matches the Rfam family "Eukaryotic large subunit ribosomal RNA", at positions 65 to 943 of the family's 3401-position model. RNAcentral also lists the same sequence under 1 other name. The record is from RNAcentral. Lineage: Eukaryota; Fungi; Ascomycota.
CCAACAGGGAUUGCCUCAGUAACGGCGAGUGAAGCGGCAACAGCUCAAAUUUGAAAUCUGGCCUAGCCCGAGUUGUAAUUUGCAGAGGAUGCUUCGGGCGCGGCGCCUUCCCAAGUCCCCUGGAACGGGGCGCCUUGGAGGGUGAGAGCCCCGUACGGUCGGAUGCCGUGCCCGUGUGAAGCUCCUUCGACGAGUCGAGUAGUUUGGGAAUGCUGCUCUAAAUGGGAGGUAGACCCCUUCUAAAGCUAAAUACCGGCCAGAGACCGAUAGCGCACAAGUAGAGUGAUCGAAAGAUGAAAAGCACUUUGAAAAGAGGGUUAAAAAGCACGUGAAAUUGUUGAAAGGGAAGCGCUCGUGACCAGACUUGCGCCGGGGCGAUCAUCUGGCGUUCUCGCCGGUGCACUCGCCCCGGCUCAGGCCAGCGUCGGUUCGGGUGGGGAGACAAAGGCGCCAGGAACGUAGCUCCUCGGAGUGUUAUAGCCUGGUGCGCCAUGUCCUCGCCCGGACCGAGGUUCGCGCUCUGCAAGGACGCUGGCGUAAUGGUCACCAGCGGCCCGUCUUGAAACACGGACCAAGGAGUCGAGGUUAUGCGCGAGUGUCUGGGUGUCAAACCCGCACGCGUAAUGAAAGUGAACGUAGGUGAGAGCUUCGGCGCAUCACCGACCGAUCCUGAUGUUCUCGGAUGGAUUUGAGUAAGAGCGUACAGCCUCGGACCCGAAAGAUGGUGAACUAUGCUUAGAUAGGGUGAAGCCAGAGGAAACUCUGGUGGAGGCUCGCAGCGGUUCUGACGUGCAAAUCGAUCGUCAAAUCUGAGCAUGGGGGCGAAAGACUAAUCGAACCAU